RNAcentral lists this ribosomal RNA (292 nucleotides) under uncultured bacterium. RNAcentral describes it as "partial 16S ribosomal RNA". It matches the Rfam family "Bacterial small subunit ribosomal RNA", at positions 505 to 796 of the family's 1533-position model. The record is from RNAcentral.
GUGCCAGCCGCCGCGGUAAUACAGAGGUGGCAAGCGUUGUUCGGAAUUACUGGGCGUAAAGGGCGCGUAGGCGGUUCGUUAAGUCCUGUGUGAAAUCCCCCGGCUCAACUGGGGAAUGGCACAGGAAACUAGCGGGCUUGAGUUCGGGAGAGGGAAGCGGAAUUCCGGGUGUAGCGGUGAAAUGCGUAGAUAUCCGGAGGAACACCGGUGGCGAAGGCGGCUUCCUGGACCGACACUGACGCUGAGGCGCGAAAGCUAGGGGAGCAAACGGGAUUAGAAACCCUGGUAGUCC